Molecule: transfer RNA, 96 nt
Filed under: Geomonas silvestris
Lineage: Bacteria; Pseudomonadati; Thermodesulfobacteriota; Desulfuromonadia; Geobacterales; Geobacteraceae
Description: tRNA-Ala
Source: RNAcentral
CCGUGCUCGGUUUGUAGGAGCUGAAAUCGUGUCCGGUCCGCGCCCGCACCAGGGCAAGCACCGCGGCCAGGUCCUGUUCGACCUCGGAGGUAUGGC